CUCGCCAUAGCUCAAGUGGGAGAGCACUCCGGCUCACGAGUCAGGAGAGGACGUCGGUUCGAUUCCGGCUGGCGAGU
This 77-nucleotide transfer RNA is filed under the name Actinocrispum wychmicini. It matches the Rfam family "tRNA". From Rfam's summary of the family: Transfer RNA (tRNA) molecules are approximately 80 nucleotides in length. Their secondary structure includes four short double-helical elements and three loops (D, anti-codon, and T loops). RNAcentral also lists the same sequence under 1 other name. The record is from Rfam by way of RNAcentral. Lineage: Bacteria; Bacillati; Actinomycetota; Actinomycetes; Pseudonocardiales; Pseudonocardiaceae.